This 105-nucleotide ribosomal RNA is filed under the name Scorpaenodes evides (cheekspot scorpionfish). RNAcentral describes it as "partial 16S rRNA". Lineage: Eukaryota; Metazoa; Chordata; Actinopteri; Perciformes; Scorpaenidae. The record is from RNAcentral.
AGCCCAACAGCUAGCCCAACAAUACAACUUCAACCCCUCCCCAUUUAUACCCCUAAAUACACAAGCACUCACACAACAAACCAUUUUUCCCAUCUAGUACGGGCG